Telopea speciosissima is the source of this 129-nucleotide long non-coding RNA. RefSeq lists it as uncharacterized. The transcript has 3 exons. The record is from RefSeq and is a predicted model, not a curated record. Lineage: Eukaryota; Viridiplantae; Streptophyta; Magnoliopsida; Proteales; Proteaceae.
UGCCUCAGGGAGGGUAUAGGUGGGACUGAAACAGAAGAAGAAUUAGUAGUAGAAAGCUUUACACCGUAGAAUUGCGAUUGUGAUGAUUGGGAGAGAAUGAGGAUGAUUUAUGAAGAUGGAUUCUUAGGC